UACGGAGGGUGCGAGCGUUAAUCGGAAUUACUGGGCGUAAAGCGCGCGUAGGCGGUUUGUUAAGUCAGCUGUGAAAGCCCCGGGCUUAACCUGGGAAUGGCAGUUGAUACUGGCGAGCUAGAGUGUGGUAGAGGGGUGUGGAAUUUCCGGUGUAGCAGUGAAAUGCGUAGAGAUCGGAAGGAACACCAGUGGCGAAGGCGGCACCCUGGACCAACACUGACGCUGAGGUGCGAAAGCGUGGGGAGCAAAC
Molecule: ribosomal RNA, 250 nt
Filed under: uncultured bacterium
Lineage: Bacteria
Description: partial 16S ribosomal RNA
Rfam family: Bacterial small subunit ribosomal RNA
Source: RNAcentral